RNAcentral lists this transfer RNA (74 nucleotides) under Palmaria palmata (dulse). RNAcentral describes it as "tRNA-His". It matches the Rfam family "tRNA". From Rfam's summary of the family: Transfer RNA (tRNA) molecules are approximately 80 nucleotides in length. Lineage: Eukaryota; Rhodophyta; Florideophyceae; Palmariales; Palmariaceae. The record is from RNAcentral. RNAcentral also lists the same sequence under 1 other name.
GCGGGAAGAGCUCGGUUGGUUUGAGCAAUAGAUUGUGAUUCUAGAGGUCGUGAGUUCAAAUCUCAUUUCCCGCC